This 994-nucleotide ribosomal RNA is filed under the name Triticum aestivum (bread wheat). Its description in RNAcentral is "partial small subunit ribosomal RNA". Lineage: Eukaryota; Viridiplantae; Streptophyta; Magnoliopsida; Poales; Poaceae. The record is from RNAcentral.
GACCUGAUAACGAGUUUUUUUUUUUUAGGAGGGACUCGAUACCGUGGUGUGUCAAGUAGAGUGAGAGAGUCGAGCUCAUGCAAGGUCAGGGGCGGCGAAGGGAAGGUAGCUGUCGCAACGGCGUUGGAGGAGAGGGGAGGUGCCUCUGUCAACCGGGGAGGAGAGGGGCGGUAAAGAGGAGGUGCGGCGCGUGGACAACAGCGAGCGUAGGAGGUGACUGGCGGUGCCACCGAGCUAACCAAGCUAGACCGCCGCCACCCACCACCGCUUCGAAUCGCGCUGCUGCCUCGGAACGAGGCCGUGAUGGUUCUUUAGAAGCGAGCAGCGGGUAGAAAGAGGUAAACGAUCGUGGUGGAUUGUAGCGGCCACCGCCGUUGGUGUGUCCGCGGUUGUUCUCCUUAGCGCUCCGCCGCCCCUACGGAUUCGUUCGGUUCGCUUUAUUCGGGAUGUUUCUGGUGCGCCGCACACCGUCGCCGCUGCGGUUUCCCUUCGGCGUUGGGCAGUGUCGGUUCCUGUUAGCCCAGCAUCGUUUCUGGAUCUUUUCCCUCGUUAUAGUGUGGUACGUCUCCUUUGGUUGUAAAGGAUGAACUACGUGUUAGUUAAAUACAAGCUUUGUUCCACUCUAUUUAAAGUUGUGUAGAUCUACCCCUCCCACAGUUCUCGUCGCGGACGAACACGAAGUCUUCACUUCUACGUACGUAGCGGAGUUUCAGUCAGUGCAGCUACUCCUUCCAGCCCAGCCUCCGUAGUCGUUACUCCUAAUCAUGUAACCCCGGUCACUGACCGUGGUGCUAUUGUUGUUUGUUUAGUUAGUUCACUAAACUCGUUUAUAAAUCUAAACCUUAGUAACAUAACAUUGAUGUUUGACCUAGUUUGUUAGCUCUCUAAGCUCGUUUCUAAGCUUAAUCCUAAGUAACAUAACAUUGUUGUUUGACCUAGUUUGUUAGCUCUCUAAGGUCACUUCUAAACCUAAACCUUUGUACCCUCUUAAGUA